This 1437-nucleotide long non-coding RNA is filed under the name Vitis vinifera (wine grape). RNAcentral's name for it is "long non-coding RNA (VVIN_LNC005682)". The record is from RNAcentral. Lineage: Eukaryota; Viridiplantae; Streptophyta; Magnoliopsida; Vitales; Vitaceae.
CAGGCAAGAUUGUUGGUAGAUCAGGUUGAAUCAAUCUUUUUCACAUCACUUGUAAGGGGUAUCUAACCCUUCAGCUGCUGGUGGGUGGAUGGUGAAGGUAAUUUAGCCUGCAAGUUGCCUAAGUUAGAACUUAAUUUAGGGAGUGGUUUUAGACAUAGAAUCUAAAUCCAUGUGAAUUUGACAAAAACCUCAACCUAAAAAUGGAAAAGGAAAAGGAAAUUAUGAAAGACGCGCAUUUAGAACUCAACUUUUAUUUAGUAUUAGUUGCUCCCAUUUUAACUGCCAUUGCUUAGGAGUACUUUUCUAAGCCAUGUGGACACCAACAAAAUUUGCGGAGUUUGCUCCAAUAUAUAAUGCCCCAAGAUGCUGUUGCACCUCAGUGAUCAAAGUAGAUCCACCAUAUUGAUCAUCAAAACUCACUGUUUCCAAUAUGGUUCCGUAGUAACUGAUCCUUUGUCCUGUGAGAAUUGUGGUUGGUGGAGAUUGAUUAUUUGGGACAUUCACUGCCACCCAAAAAUUUCCUGAUGCAGUCCUCUUAAUGUUAACUGGCCUUCCCCGGAAACUUACGAAAGUUUCUGCUGUAGAUGCUUUAGGACCUCUAAGCCAAAACUUCAGAAUUCUGUUAGCAUUGAACUCUGAGACGAGAACAAACAUUCCAUCAUUGCUGACUGCAGUCCCCGCCGCUCCAGAGAGGCCUCUCAACAACACGGUAACAUUCUUUGUCUCUGGGUCAUAUCUUAAUAGCCUUCCAGUUGCAUCGCUGGAAAAUUGAGUUGUGUUGCCACUUGCGAGUGCCCGUGAAAUGUUUCUGCAUUAUGUACGAUGCUACUUUUAGUGUAUUUAUCCACUAAUUUCAUGUAUGAUCAAUGAAAUGAGAGAAACAAAUUGGCAAAUAACCUUAGCUGGAUUGUAGUACUGAAGUCUGUAAAAUAGACCAGCCCGGACAAUGGGUCAACGUCUAAACCAUUAAGGAAGCAGAAGGGCACCCCUUCUGCACUUGUUGCAAGUUUGGUUGCAAGCCUUCCAUUAGUACCCGCCACAAAGAGCCCGGAAUACGCAUCGGCAAUGUACAUCUGGUUCCUUAGAUUGUUGAAACUCAAACCUAAUGGUCUUCCACACGUGGGUCCUGAAUCUGGGUCUGUAGUGCCAUCACACACUGCCUUGGACCUGAAUCAGAGUCAUCAAGAGACCGGAAUUAAUAAGUUAGAGCUUGGUGUACAAACACAUAUUUUUGCAAAAAUCCAUGGCUAAUGCUGUGUUUAUCCUUUCUUUUUUUAUUCAUUUGCAGGAAGCAAGGUUUUUCUCUAUUGGGUGUGGGUUGGUUUCUGACCAGAAGACGAGAACCCACUGCAUUUACACAAAUAUGAUAUUGUUGAUGGAGGCCUGAAUGAGGGCUCUCUCCAUCUAAAAGGUUACCUGGUCGGUGUACAGAAGGCA